RNAcentral lists this ribosomal RNA (598 nucleotides) under Hippoglossoides elassodon (flathead sole). Its description in RNAcentral is "partial 16S ribosomal RNA". It matches the Rfam family "Bacterial large subunit ribosomal RNA", at positions 1814 to 2602 of the family's 2925-position model. The record is from RNAcentral. Lineage: Eukaryota; Metazoa; Chordata; Actinopteri; Pleuronectiformes; Pleuronectidae.
CAUCGCCUCUUGCAUAACCACAGUAUAAGAGGUCCCGCCUGCCCAGUGACGACUUAGUUCAACGGCCGCGGUAUUUUGACCGUGCAAAGGUAGCGUAAUCACUUGUCUUUUAAAUGAAGACCUGUAUGAAUGGCAUAACGAGGGCUUAACUGUCUCCUUCCCCCGGUCAAUGAAAUUGAUCUCCCCGUGCAGAAGCGGGGAUAAAACCAUAAGACGAGAAGACCCUAUGGAGCUUUAGACACACAGGUGGCCCAUGUCAAAUAACCCCCGCUAAGGGCCUGAACUAAGUGGAACCUGCCUUGAUGUCUUCGGUUGGGGCGACCAUGGGGAAUACAAAACCCCCACGUGGAAGGGGAGCACACCCCUAAGUUACUUCUUCUCCCGCAAGCCAGAGCAACGGCUCUAACCAGCAGAAAUUCUGACCAAACUGAUCCGGUAAUACCGAUCAACGAACCAAGUUACCCUAGGGAUAACAGCGCAAUCCCCUUUUAGAGCCCAUAUCGACAAGGGGGUUUACGACCUCGAUGUUGGAUCAGGACAUCCUAAUGGUGCAGCCGCUAUUAAGGGUUCGUUUGUUCAACGAUUAAAGUCCUACGUG